UGGGGAAUUUUGGACAAUGGGGGCAACCCUGAUCCAGCCAUGCCGCGUGAGUGAAGAAGGCCUUCGGGUUGUAAAGCUCUUUCGGCGGGGACGAAACGGUCCGUGACAACACCACGGACUAAUGACAGUACUCGCAGAAGAAGCACCGGCUAACUACGUGCCAGCAGCCGCGGUAAUACGUAGGGUGCAGGCGUUAAUCGGAAUUACUGGGCGUAAAGCGUGCGCAGGUGGCUCCUUAAGUCAGAUGUGAAAUCCCCGGGCUUAACCUGGGAACUGCGUUUGAAACUGAGGAGCUAGAGUGUGGAAGAGGGGGGUGGAAUUCCAGGUGUAGCAGUGAAAUGCGUAGAGAUCUGGAAGAACACCAGUGGCGAAGGCGGCCAACUGGCUCGAUACUGACGCUGAGGUGCGAAAGCGUGGGGAGCAAACAGGAUUAGAUACCCAAGUAGUCCCUGAGCGGGCUGGCAAGGCGCAU
RNAcentral lists this ribosomal RNA (472 nucleotides) under uncultured bacterium. RNAcentral's name for it is "bacterial SSU rRNA". It matches the Rfam family "Bacterial small subunit ribosomal RNA", at positions 355 to 825 of the family's 1533-position model. The record is from RNAcentral.